UACAGGGGGGGCAAGCGUUGUUCGGAAUUACUGGGCGUAAAGGGCUCGUAGGCGGCCAACUAAGUCACACGUGAAAUCCCCAGGCUUAACCUGGGAACUGCGUGUGAUACUGGAUGGCUUGAAUUCGGGAGAGGGAUGCAGAAUUCCAGGUGUAGCGGUGAAAUGCGUAGAUAUGCGGAGGAACACCGAUGGCGAAGGCAAUCCCCUGGGCCUGCACUGACGCUCAUGCACGAAAGCGUGGGGAGCAAACAGG
This 253-nucleotide ribosomal RNA is filed under the name uncultured bacterium. RNAcentral describes it as "partial 16S ribosomal RNA". It matches the Rfam family "Bacterial small subunit ribosomal RNA", at positions 524 to 776 of the family's 1533-position model. The record is from RNAcentral.